UACGUAGGGUGCAAGCGUUAAUCGGAAUUACUGGGCGUAAAGCGUGCGCAGGCGGUUUUGUAAGUCUGACGUGAAAUCCCCGGGCUCAACCUGGGAAUGCGUUGGAGACUGCAAGGCUAGAAUCUGGCAGAGGGGGGUAGAAUUCCACGUGUAGCAGUGAAAUGCGUAGAGAUGUGGAGGAACACCGAUGGCGAAGGCAGCCCCCUGGGCAAGGUGACGCUCAUGCACGAAAGGCGUGGGGAGCAAACGAGG
This 252-nucleotide ribosomal RNA is filed under the name uncultured bacterium. Its description in RNAcentral is "partial 16S ribosomal RNA". It matches the Rfam family "Bacterial small subunit ribosomal RNA", at positions 524 to 777 of the family's 1533-position model. The record is from RNAcentral.